This 426-nucleotide ribosomal RNA is filed under the name uncultured Actinomycetes bacterium. RNAcentral's name for it is "bacterial SSU rRNA". It matches the Rfam family "Bacterial small subunit ribosomal RNA", at positions 233 to 671 of the family's 1533-position model. Lineage: Bacteria; Bacillati; Actinomycetota; Actinomycetes. The record is from RNAcentral.
GCGGCCUAUCAGCUUGUUGGUGAGGUAAUGGCUCACCAAGGCGACGACGGGUAGCCGGCCUGAGAGGGCGACCGGCCACACUGGGACUGAGACACGGCCCAGACUCCUACGGGAGGCAGCAGUGGGGAAUAUUGGGCAAUGGAGGAAACUCUGACCCAGCGACGCCGCGUGCGGGAUGAAGGCCUUCGGGUUGUAAACCGCUUUCAGCAGGGAAGAAGCGAAAGUGACGGUACCUGCAGAAGAAGCACCAGCUAACUAUGUGCCAGCAGCCGCGGUAAUACAUAGGGUGCAAGCGUUGUCCGGAAUUAUUGGGCGUAAAGAGCUCGUAGGUGGUUCGUCACGUCGGAUGUGAAACUCUGGGGCUUAACCCCAGACCUGCAUUCGAUACGGGCGAGCUAGAGUGUGGUAGGGGAGACUGGAAUUCCU